AUCCAGCUGAAGAGUCCCAAAUAGGACGGAACGUGCGUAUCUGAU
Molecule: non-coding RNA, 45 nt
Filed under: Schistosoma mansoni
Lineage: Eukaryota; Metazoa; Platyhelminthes; Trematoda; Strigeidida; Schistosomatidae
Source: RNAcentral